AUUGAACGCUGGCGGCAGGCCUAACACAUGCAAGUCGAACGGUAGCACAGAGAGCUUGCUCUCGGGUGACGAGUGGCGGACGGGUGAGUAAUGUCUGGGAAACUGCCUGAUGGAGGGGGAUAACUACUGGAAACGGUAGCUAAUACCGCAUAACGUCGCAAGACCAAAGAGGGGGACCUUCGGGCCUCUUGCCAUCAGAUGUGCCCAGAGGGGAUUAGCUAGUAGGUGGGGUAAGGGCUCACCUAGGCGACGAUCCCGAGCUGGGCUGAGAGGAUGACCAGCCACACUGGAACUGAGACACGGUCCAGACUCCUACGGGAGUCAGCAGUGGGGAAUAUUGCACAAUGGGCGCAAGCCUGAUGCAGCCAUGCCGCGUGUAUGAAGAAGGCCUUCGGGUUGUAAAGUACUUUCAGCGGGGAGGAAGGUGCUGAGGUUAAUAACCUCAGCAAUUGACGUUACCCGCAGAAGAAGCACCGGCUAACUCCGUGCCAGCAGCCGCCGUAA
RNAcentral lists this ribosomal RNA (504 nucleotides) under uncultured bacterium. Its description in RNAcentral is "partial 16S ribosomal RNA". It matches the Rfam family "Bacterial small subunit ribosomal RNA", at positions 29 to 523 of the family's 1533-position model. The record is from RNAcentral.